RNAcentral lists this ribosomal RNA (253 nucleotides) under uncultured bacterium. Its description in RNAcentral is "partial 16S ribosomal RNA". It matches the Rfam family "Bacterial small subunit ribosomal RNA", at positions 524 to 776 of the family's 1533-position model. The record is from RNAcentral.
UACGUAGGGGGCAAGCGUUGUCCGGAAUUAUUGGGCGUAAAGAGCUCGUAGGCGGCUUGUCACGUCGGGUGUGAAAGCCCGGGGCUUAACCCCGGGUCUGCAUUCGAUACGGGCUAGCUAGAGUGUGGUAGGGGAGAUCGGAAUUCCUGGUGUAGCGGUGAAAUGCGCAGAUAUCAGGAGGAACACCGGUGGCGAAGGCGGAUCUCUGGGCCAUUACUGACGCUGAGGAGCGAAAGCGUAGGGAGCGAACAGG